Molecule: long non-coding RNA, 271 nt
Filed under: Manihot esculenta (cassava)
Lineage: Eukaryota; Viridiplantae; Streptophyta; Magnoliopsida; Malpighiales; Euphorbiaceae
Description: long non-coding RNA (MESC_LNC011801)
Source: RNAcentral
UCACAGCCUGGUCUUGGGUCAAGGGAAUCAAACCCUAUCUUCCCUCACAGUUAUAUGUCUACUGGAGUUUUCGAAACACAACAUCUAUUAAGCCUGGUUUGACUCAUUUCUCAUCAAGAAACAUAAAACAGGAUACAUGCAUACACAAGGGAUAAAGCAUACACUAGGCAAAGCACAUUCUAAAGCAUAACACACUGACUUACUAUCUAUUACAUGCCUUUACAUAUAUCUCUUUAAUUUCAAUCAUGUCCAUACUAUUCUAUUACACAAG